AACGAACGCUGGCGGCGUGCCUAACACAUGCAAGUCGAACGUGAAAGCAGGCUUCGGCCUGUCGGUAGCGUGGCAGACGGGUGAGUAACACGUGGGUAACCUGCCCGGAGAUGGGGGAUAACCUUUCGAAAGGAAGGCUAAUACCGCAUAACAUCCCGAGGCCUUCGGACCUCGGGAUCAAAGCUAGCCUCUACAUGUAAGCUGGCGUCACCGGAGGGGCCCGCGCCCCAUUAGCUUGUUGGUGAGGUAAAGGCUCACCAAGGCCACGAUGGGUAGCCGGCCUGAGAGGGCGAUCGGCCACACUGGAACUGAGACACGGUCCAGACUCCUACGGGAGGCAGCAGUGAGGAAUCUUGCGCAAUGGGCGAAAGCCUGACGCAGCGACGCCGCGUGGAGGAUGAAGGCCUUCGGGUCGUAAACUCCUGUCGAGAGGGACGAAAGCCGGGGAGGUUAAUAGCCUCUUCGGUUGACGGUACCUCCAAAGGAAGCCCCGGCUAACUCCGUG
RNAcentral lists this ribosomal RNA (505 nucleotides) under uncultured bacterium. RNAcentral's name for it is "bacterial SSU rRNA". It matches the Rfam family "Bacterial small subunit ribosomal RNA", at positions 29 to 507 of the family's 1533-position model. The record is from RNAcentral.